UAACAUAAAAUGUGGAGAAAGUGCAACGCCGUGAAUACUUUCUGGGUGCACCGUAGCUACCUGCUCUACAACAAACCUGUGCAGUUUAGAUUAAAAAGAAACUUGUUUUUGUACAACUCAAAGCAUGAUUCCACAAAAAUAACAAGCAUAAUAAUCAAUAAUCAAUGGAUAAUGAUAUUUUGAUAAUGAUGAUUAUAUGUUAAAGAUUUAUAAGUUAAGGGAAUAAUACUUAUUUGACUUAGUCUUUAAUAUUUAGCACACUUUGUUGUAAUUUUUUAUUAAUUGUACUGCCUUUGUUUUAUAUUUUUGUUUUGUCUUUUUUAUGAAUAUAAAUGUUUUCUUCAUACAUAAGGUUUUUGCACAGUGCUGUAUAUUAGCUAGCCAUGCUGCAUUAUGUCACAUUAUCAUUUUAAAUUAAAUAAGCCCCUGUUGUACGGGAGAUUAACCUAUUCCAAAAACACAUUUACUAUAGUUCUCAGCCUAAGAAAAGGCUGCAUUCUUCAAAUAACUGUUUAUUAUUCAGGUUGUUACCAAGAUAGCUAAGAAGCUAACGCCCUUCACCCAGUCAAUAAAAUGCCUCACUAAGCUUAUAGUUUCCAUACACCUAAUUAAGAUAUAUUUACUCUGUUAAACUGUGUGUAAGAAAAUUACAUAUUCUGAGGCUACACAGGUGCUAAUUUUCCAAAAUAAUUUCAACAACUGCGCUUGUGACGAGAUAUUUGUGUUUACCGAUUAGCUCUACAAAAACAACUUUAAGUCACCAGGUCUGACAAUUGGCUGGACCGUGAAAAUUUUUAUUUGCGUUUUAAUUUCCUAGUGUGACCGCAGCAUGACACCAUUUGUGCAGUCUACCUCACAUGACUGUAGUUUUAGCUGAUGGUGCACUCGCGGUGCAGCAGCAUAGCCUAGUGUGUGUGUGUGUGUGUGUGUGUGUGUGUGUGUUGUCUGAUCUGAGCUUGGCAGAAAAAAAAAACCCUGCACUGAAUGACAUCAUAAGGUCAUGGCAGUGGACAGUUGGGGUUGCCCUAAAAGUGACCCUGAAAUGUAUAAUCCAAUACAUUUGCUUUAAUCUUUUGUGAACUACUGUGGUUGUGCGCGUGUGAAUGUGUAUAUACGUGGGCACUUUUUUUUUUUUUAUUUAGUGUGUUGAAUUUUAUAAAUUGUUAGUAUAUAUAACACACUUGCACAACUUUAAAACCGAGUGUAACGUGUUUCUGUUGUACAUACCUAUACAUACAAUACAAAUGCACCACUUGUUUAUAUGUGUGAAUAUGUUGCCAUACUUGCAGUCGACUUAAAUGUAUUUUCAUGUAAUCUGAGGUACAAGCAGCAACAAACGAUCCAUUAAAGACAUUUUCUUGGGAGAUUA
Molecule: long non-coding RNA, 1369 nt
Organism: Thalassophryne amazonica
Lineage: Eukaryota; Metazoa; Chordata; Actinopteri; Batrachoidiformes; Batrachoididae
Exons: 2
Source: RefSeq, a predicted model, not a curated record